GCCUAGUUAGCUUAGUUGGUAGUGCGUCUGCCUUGUAAGCGCUAGGCCGCGGGUUCGAUUCCCGCCCGUGGUU
RNAcentral lists this transfer RNA (73 nucleotides) under Diaphorina citri (Asian citrus psyllid). It matches the Rfam family "tRNA". Rfam says of the family: Transfer RNA (tRNA) molecules are approximately 80 nucleotides in length. The record is from Rfam by way of RNAcentral. Lineage: Eukaryota; Metazoa; Arthropoda; Insecta; Hemiptera; Psyllidae.